CCUACGGGGGGCAGCAGUCGAGAAUCAUUCACAAUGGGGGAAACCCUGAUGGUGCGACGCCGCGUGGGGGAAUGAAGGUCUUCGGAUUGUAAACCCCUGUCAUGUGGGAGCAAAUUAAAAAGAUAGUACCACAAGAGGAAGAGACGGCUAACUCUGUGCCAGCAGCCGCGGUAAUACAGAGGUAUCAAGCGUUGUUCGGAAGCACUGGGCGUAAAGGGUGCGUAGGCGGUUUCGUAAGUCGUGUGUGAAAGGCGCGGGCUCAACCCGCGGACGGCACAUGAUACUGCGAGACUAGAGUAAUGGAGGGGGAACCGGAAUUCUCGGUGUAGCAGUGAAAUGCGUAGAUAUCGAGAGGAACACUCGUGGCGAAGGCGGGUUCCUGGACAUUAACUGACGCUGAGGCACGAAGGCCAGGGGAGCGAAAGGGAUUAGAUACCCCUGUAGUC
This 446-nucleotide ribosomal RNA is filed under the name uncultured bacterium. RNAcentral describes it as "partial 16S ribosomal RNA". It matches the Rfam family "Bacterial small subunit ribosomal RNA", at positions 338 to 795 of the family's 1533-position model. The record is from RNAcentral.